GACGAACGCUGGCGGCGUGCUUAACACAUGCAAGUCGAGCGGUAAGGCCCUUUCGGGGGUACACGAGCGGCGAACGGGUGAGUAACACGUGGGUGACCUGCCCUCAGCUCUGGGAUAAGCCUGGGAAACUGGGUCUAAUACUGGAUAUGACUCCACGGUGCAUGUCGUGGGGUGGAAAGCCUUGUGCGGCUGAGGAUGGGCCCGCGGCCUAUCAGCUUGUUGGUGGGGUGANGGCCUACCAAGGCGACGACGGGUAGCCGGCCUGAGAGGGCGACCGGCCACACUGGGACUGAGACACGGCCCAGACUCCUACGGGAGGCAGCAGUGGGGAAUCUUGCGCAAUGGGCGAAAGCCUGACGCAGCGACGCCGCGUGAGGGAUGACGGCCUCGGUUGUAACGUACUUACUACG
Molecule: ribosomal RNA, 410 nt
Filed under: uncultured bacterium
Lineage: Bacteria
Description: bacterial SSU rRNA
Rfam family: Bacterial small subunit ribosomal RNA
Source: RNAcentral